RNAcentral lists this ribosomal RNA (2921 nucleotides) under Triticum aestivum (bread wheat). Its description in RNAcentral is "partial small subunit ribosomal RNA". Lineage: Eukaryota; Viridiplantae; Streptophyta; Magnoliopsida; Poales; Poaceae. The record is from RNAcentral.
GAGGAUGUGAGAUUGAGGUAGGAGAAGGAGAGGGGUCAGGGCCGGAGGGAGAGGAGAGGAGAGGAGGGGCGGAUAUUUUGGGCGGCGAGGGGCGUGGACGCGAGGAGAGGCGAGAGGGAAGGGAGGGAGCGAGAGCGUGAUGGAUUAGGAGGCGACUUCCACCCCCUUGCCUUGCCUUUUCUUGGCCAGAACGCGCGCAGGACUAGAGCGGCCUCCUCUACCACCACCGCCGCCGCUAGGACGGCCUCGACCGGUGCGUCGACCACCACGGCCACCGCCGCCGCCAGCCGUAGCGCAAGCGCCACGACGUCACCCACGAGCAGAGGUUCCAGUUCCAGCGGGGGCUCGGCGCGCCACUCCCGCCCAGCCGGCCUCCUCCUCGGCCGCGGCCCCCGUUCCUGCCGCGGUCGCUCAUGGAGUAGCUCCUCCUCCUCCCGGAGUUGCUGGUGUUGCAGCAGGAGUUCACGCGGCUCUAGGUCUGGCGGUAGAGGCUUCCCCGUUGGAGGAAGGAAAAGUGACUUAUGUUCAUACGGCCUCCCAAGUACUGGCAAAAGCGCCAGGACUAGAAGCAGAAGGAACCGAGGUAGCUCCCCAAGUCGUGUUUCUCAGUCGGAACGGUAAUGUCGCACCCGUUCUGUACGUUCGGCCGAGAACGAUUACGGCGCAAGUCGUGUUAACGGAAACACGACCCACGCCAGUGGAGAGACCACAGACCAAAGGAACCUUACUUCUAGCGCUGAAUGCGCUUACGGUCCUGUUGAGAGCUCCGUUCCUUCCCACAACCCUUCCGCAAAUAGCAACGAAAGGCGAGACCACGACACUACCCGAAGGAAGAACGACGUUCACCGGAAAAACAAGAAAUGCAGCGUUAGUUGAACAAACCCGAAAUAAUACCGCUACUGACCCUCCCAGAAAAGCUCCGAUAGUGGCCAAUACCAGAACCGCCAAGAAGGUACCGAGAAAAGCCGGCACAUCCGCCACCCUAAAUGUGGUUUCGACGACUACAACCACGACUAGAACAACCCUUUCAUCUUUCCUUGUAGGGACUUCUGCUGGGCUCCUUGGGCCGGCAGUAACGUCUGUUACAACCACUGUUACAACCUCUAUAACGACCUUACCCAAGUCUAGAGAAACCAAGGAUGCGGCUCAGUAGAACACGACGAGAACAACAACGGAGUUAGAGAAGGAAACCUUAGUUGGCACUUAAGUGAGGGUACUACAUGGGUGAGGAUUAAUCGAGUCACCCGUAUUAUCGGACAAACCAUUGUUGAGAAAAACGUUGGCUAAAGAAACUCCACUUCCUCCAUCUAGUUUAUCUCGGACGGGAAUUUUUUGUCGAAUAAUAGAGGUGACGGCACUACUGGCAACCGUAACGUGAUCAGUCAACCAAUCCAGAGGGUAUAUGGAAGUGUUAUAAGUUGAAACCACGGGUCUUCUGCCACGUAUCGACCGUUGAUAAAGAUACACACCGCCAACCAGAGACCCGACCGGAUCAGUAACCUAAAUAGUGUCUCAUGAUGUGUUCGUUACGUAUGUCAGGACACGUCCUACAGCGACUAAGGACGUCUUGACCUCGACGUUGGUUACAGUAGAAACCAGAACGAGACCCUAUGUUUAGUCAAUAAUAGGGAUAGAAACGGUAACGGAAGUCAUAAAAGGAGUCGAAGUCGGAACGGCGCUACAUACCACAACGACACCGACGAGAACCUUACGAGUCGUGUUAACGCUGGCCAGAACGGUAACUACGGAUACCGGGAUAGUCACUGUUGCGACCUCCGUAACGACUUUACCGACCGUACUCGGUGUCUUAAGCACUUUCUUGACUACGAGACCUACGACGUCCUUUGUGUUGACGACGGUAACCUUUCCCUAAGCGUUAACCGAGUCGACGGAACCACAGGGAACGAGAGAAGCCACGAAAACACUCGGCACGACCCUAGUGUUGACAACUACAAGACUGUGGUUUGCAAAAGUAACCGGAGGAACAACCGCGAUACGAGGGCAUGACCAAGAGACGCUACUGGUACUUCUCACAACCUUCGCGCCGAGAGUUCUACCACCUCCUUCACGCCUCCGUCAAGUUGUGCUAGGGACCCGAGUACCUCCCGUGGCGGUUCGGACUGAUACGCUGUACACACUUCUAGAGGUGGCUACGCAGGUAGUUCCUCUACUAGGGGGGCCCAUGAGAACAGUACGACUGUGGAGAAUAGCAGCCCUGGAAGAAGCCACAACUCUGGGAGAGACCACAGGAACGGCCACGAGACCAAAGACCACAAGUCUAACGGUAAAGUCGUAGUUUGUGACCACCACGGACCCUGUUGCGCUUCUUUAUGUAACUCCGACCGCGUAGACUCGUGCGUUUCUCGGACCCGGGUUUUCCGAGUCUGACGGUGUUCCGACGACACUAGCCGCUGUGGUAGCCCCUGGGAGAGUUCCUGUGGAGCCCGGGGAGCGAGUUGUAGGAGUAGUUCGAGUACCGCCAGCUCAGGGAGCACAAGCGGGGGAAGAAGCGGUGGAUACCUCCGUAGGAGAAAUUCAUAGAAAUCUCGCUCUUCUAACUGAUAGAUCAAAACGGUCACCCCUCGCACGAUGAAGUAGAUGUACAGUACCUCGAGGAAGUCUACUACCGGGAGAACACAAAAUGUAAGGCAACAAGGGCCAGAAAGUGGUAGUACAACUUGAACAGAUCAAAAACAAGGCCAUCUACAUCAUCACCAUCGUCUCCCAUCGCUUUACUUACCGGUAAGCUGUCCAAACCUGAUCUCACAGAACCCCCAAGAUAACACGGACAUCUACCUACUACUACUACUACUGCUACUACUACUUAGAACAUACGUGUAACGUCUAAAGUACAAAACUUAAGUUACCCUCGAUGAGAAUAGUAAAACACCCACUGACCUACCUACGUUAUACUGAAACAC